Anolis carolinensis (green anole) is the source of this 1021-nucleotide long non-coding RNA. RefSeq lists it as uncharacterized. The record is from RefSeq and is a predicted model, not a curated record. The transcript is spliced from 2 exons. Lineage: Eukaryota; Metazoa; Chordata; Lepidosauria; Squamata; Anolidae.
UCCGGGUUCGCUCUGGUUCAAAAUGGGGAAUCUGUCCAAAACAACAUUACAACUUGCUGAAGGCUUUCAUGGCCGGAAUCACUGGGUUGCUUGUUAACUUUGCCAUCCAUGGAAGAGGAAUCUAUGUUCUAGUACCUUGGUCCUUGCCUUGUUCCCGUGCCUCGUUUCAUGACUUCCAAGCCGAGUUCAUGCCUUGUGACUCUCGAGUAUACCUUGCCUUGCUAACCUCGGUUCUACGAUUCCUUGGUGGUUGCUUUCCAUGUGGAGUACAGUUUGUGGAUUUCCAGCAUCUUGUUCCUGUUCCUUGCGACUUCUGGCUGAUCCUGUUUGGACGGUGUUUACAGACUAACUCUAGCUUCUUGGUGGAACUAACGUGUUCCAUUUGUGGAUUACAAUAUUGAAGGGCUUUAUUGGACUUGCUUCUGAACAGUUAAGGACAUUAUAUUAUGGACUAUUUGUCAGAGUAAUUUGCAGCACAGCAGUAGAUGGAGUCAGUGGAAUAGAUGCUAUUUGCUUCUGAACAGUUAAGGACAUUAUAUUAUGGACUAUUUGUCAGAGUAAUUUGCAGCACAGCAGUAGAUGGAGUCAGUGGAAUAGAGAACGAAGAGACAUCAGAGAUGAUGGUAAAACUAUAUACAAGUUUUAUUGAAAGCAGUAAAAAGACAAACAGACUUGCAGACAAACACAGGACUCUCACUCUAGCAGACAGCAGAACAGAACUAAACUGAUGUAAUCAGUAAAGCAUACACACUUGUGUCUGGACACUCCCCAGUUCCAGCCACACAUACUGAUUGCAUCAUCCAGAGUGUACUAUAGUCUGUAAAGAGUUAAUUACUGAGAAGCUUUACAGACUAUAGUACACUCUGGAUGAUGCAAUCAGUAUGCAAUACAAACCAAGACACAAAUUGUAUUUAAACACUAUCAAUACACAAAUCCCACAUUAACACUAUUAACUCUAUUGACUUUAAAUGCUAUUUGCUUGCAUAUAUGUAUAUCCUUCAAUAAACCGCUUUGCUUAUGA